RNAcentral lists this long non-coding RNA (470 nucleotides) under Panax ginseng (ginseng). RNAcentral's name for it is "long non-coding RNA (PGIN_LNC001577)". The record is from RNAcentral. Lineage: Eukaryota; Viridiplantae; Streptophyta; Magnoliopsida; Apiales; Araliaceae.
UCUUCUGAACCUGGAGCACAAAAGCGCGGGUUGGGUCGGGGCCCUAAUCAUGUGCCGAAGGCCCCGGCUAAUCCGGAUGAUCGCAUUCUUAUACAGAUACGUCCUCCUCCAGAAAGCACGUAAGUUAAACAUCGUGUAUAUAUAAGGGUUUAAUAUUUCCAUUAUUAUAAAUAUAUAUGACUGUAAAUUAUUGUAUAUUGUAGUGAUUUUCAAGAUAGUAAAAUUGUGAAGUGCAUUUCACAAUUAUGCUUACAGAACUGGCCUACGCCAGUGAUUACAUGGGCGAGCACACCUCUCGCCCAUAAGGAUGCAGUUUGGGCUGAAUUUCAGGUAUAUUUUUUUAUCACUCUGAUAGAUAAUACAUAGUUAAUCAAAUAAUAUUGUUUAGUAAUGUUGGAUUAUGGUAAUAUAAUAUAACCGUUUUAAUAUUAUUAUUGUUGUUUUAUUUGCAGAAGCGGUAUAGAUGGGAC